UCCCAUAGGCUUACGGUCGGUCUCUAUCAUGAUCUUCUUCUCCAUCAUUACCGACGUCGGCCAUCCCUUCCGAUCUCCAAAUGGUUUCCUUCUCACAUAUCUCCGAAAAAAGACUAACGUCCUUCCCGCUCUUCUGCCUGUUUCCACAAUCGCUCUCCUCCUACUCAUCAGCAUCGGCUCUACCCUCCAAUCUCCCGCAGGU
Molecule: long non-coding RNA, 202 nt
Filed under: Elaeis guineensis (African oil palm)
Lineage: Eukaryota; Viridiplantae; Streptophyta; Magnoliopsida; Arecales; Arecaceae
Description: long non-coding RNA (EGUI_LNC021024)
Source: RNAcentral